This 497-nucleotide ribosomal RNA is filed under the name uncultured bacterium. RNAcentral describes it as "partial 16S ribosomal RNA". It matches the Rfam family "Bacterial small subunit ribosomal RNA", at positions 28 to 507 of the family's 1533-position model. The record is from RNAcentral.
GAUGAACGCUGGCGGCGUGCCUAAUACAUGCAAGUCGAGCGAACAGACGAGGAGCUUGCUCCUCUGACGUUAGCGGCGGACGGGUGAGUAACACGUGGAUAACCUACCUAUAAGACUGGGAUAACUUCGGGAAACCGGAGCUAAUACCGGAUAAUAUAUUGAACCGCAUGGUUCAAUAGUGAAAGACGGUUUUGCUGUCACUUAUAGAUGGAUCCGCGCCGCAUUAGCUAGUUGGUAAGGUAACGGCUUACCAAGGCAACGAUGCGUAGCCGACCUGAGAGGGUGAUCGGCCACACUGGAGCUGGGACAGGGUCCAGACUCCUACGGGAGGCAGCAGUAGGGAAUCUUCCGCAAUGGGCGAAAGCUUGACGGAGCAACGCCGCGUGAGUGAUGAAGGUCUUCGGAUCGUAAAACUCUGUUAUUAGGGAAGAACAAAUGUGUAAGUAACUAUGCACGUCUUGACGGUAACUAAUCAGAAAGCCACGGCUAACUACGUG